UAGGGAAUCUUCGGCAAUGGGGGCAACCCUGACCGAGCAACGCCGCGUGAGUGAAGAAGGUUUUCGGAUCGUAAAGCUCUGUUGUAAGAGAAGAACGUGUGUGAGAGUGGAAAGUUCACACAGUGACGGUAACUUACCAGAAAGGGACGGCUAACUACGUGCCAGCAGCCGCGGUAAUACGUAGGUCCCGAGCGUUGUCCGGAUUUAUUGGGCGUAAAGCGAGCGCAGGCGGUUUAAUAAGUCUGAAGUUAAAGGCAGUGGCUUAACCAUUGUUCGCUUUGGAAACUGGUAAACUUGAGUGGAGAAGGGGAGAGUGGAAUUCCAUGUGUAGCGGUGAAAUGCGUAGAUAUAUGGAGGAACACCGGUGGCGAAAGCGGCUCUCUGGUCUGUAACUGACGCUGAGGCUCGAAAGCGUGGGGAGCAAACAGG
Molecule: ribosomal RNA, 429 nt
Filed under: bacterium
Lineage: Bacteria
Description: partial 16S ribosomal RNA
Rfam family: Bacterial small subunit ribosomal RNA
Source: RNAcentral